UACGAAGGGGGCUAGCGUUGCUCGGAAUCACUGGGCGUAAAGCGCACGUAGGCGGACUCUUAAGUCGGUGGUGAAAUCCCAAGGCUCAACCUUGGAACUGCCUUUGAUACUGGGGAUCUUGAGUCCGGGAGAGGUGAGUGGAACUGCGAGUGUAGAGGUGAAAUUCGUAGAUAUUCGCAAGAACACCAGUGGCGAAGGCGGCUCACUGGCCCGGUACUGACGCUGAGGUGCGAAAGCGUGGGGAGCGAACAGG
This 253-nucleotide ribosomal RNA is filed under the name uncultured bacterium. Its description in RNAcentral is "partial 16S ribosomal RNA". It matches the Rfam family "Bacterial small subunit ribosomal RNA", at positions 524 to 776 of the family's 1533-position model. The record is from RNAcentral.